GUUUUAAAUUAUUGUUGGAAAUGUCCAAUACGUAUACUUAAGCCUCGAGGGUCUACAUAUUAGUUCGUACCGCGAAGAGUGUGGCAUAUGGUUGGAGCCGAUUGGGACGCGACGAGGAGCCAGGUGUGGCAUUGGUAGGUUAAGUAGCCUAUCUGUUACACUACGGGCUGAAGAGUUUCCCAAUCGCGAGUGACUCAGACGCAUUAUAGGGCAGACAGAAGACAGCGUAAGUCACACAGGAUGUAACUGCAAAUUUAGAAGUAUAUAAACACAAGUCAUUCUGUACGAUUGCCCAACUUCCAAACGAAUGAUGUCCAAAUAGGCUGCAUGCCAUGUCAGACUUUUGGUAGACCGAUCGUUUGCGGUGCCGCGUCUGUAUCGAGGAUGGCUGAUGUGUGACUAGUUUUAAACGCCAAACAGUGAGAAAAGGAAAGCAACAUUUCAUUUGUAAUUUUCAAAGAGUGGGCUCUCGUUACAAAAUGAUGAUUUCCUGCAUCCUUUGGCUACCACAUCAUGUGUAACUGUGGUUGAGGGUCAUACUACAAAGUGAGGUUAUUGGCUUAUCCAGGUAACUUAAGGAGUAACUGCUGUUCGCUAAUCUCAGAAGAACACAUCACUUUUGAAACAACACAUGCUUGAUGUCCAUAAAGCACGGGUCUGGAGAUAUGACCUUCCCAUUCCAGCAUGUAGACCAACCAAGCCACAUGUAUUUGCUUUCAAGAGGAGACAUCUUUAUUGGAGACAUGAUCUUGUCAGAAGAUUCUCGGGAUUCUCCAUAGACCACACAUAGGGUUGAAGUUGACGUGAGUUUACAUGCCUCUCUGAUGGUAUGGACCAAGGCCUACAGACGAGUGUCCUUUAAUGUGAGCAAGGGUGUGUUUUUGGCCUGGGCAGUACAGCUGAUGCCAGUGCUGUUUCUGGAUGAUGAAUGCCAUGCCGCUCCACAUUCUUGGCUCCGGGGGCUGCUUGCUUUGGGACAACUCUGGGAGAAGCUGAUUACAGGACUUUUAAAUGCCACCGCAUCAGGCCAGCCCAUAAGGAAUGAUUAGUUAGCUGACUGUGGUGUCAUGUGUUGCUGGGUUCAUGGAUAUUGUUGCUAUGUCUGUACCUUUAUUAAUAAAAGGACA
Molecule: long non-coding RNA, 1127 nt
Organism: Alosa sapidissima (American shad)
Lineage: Eukaryota; Metazoa; Chordata; Actinopteri; Clupeiformes; Clupeidae
Exons: 4
Source: RefSeq, a predicted model, not a curated record